Molecule: long non-coding RNA, 928 nt
Filed under: Equus caballus (horse)
Lineage: Eukaryota; Metazoa; Chordata; Mammalia; Perissodactyla; Equidae
Description: lncRNA (ENSECAG00000057768.1)
Source: RNAcentral
UGCCUAAGGUCACCUAGCUAGUUGCCAGGGAACAGAGGCCUGUCACUGGGUCCCAAGCCCAGGCUCUCUCCACGCAACGCCAAUGCCCCUCCCUCCCAUCCCCAACAUAGGAAGCAAUGUUGGGAUACAUACAUGUUAACAUCCUGAGGAUCAUACAGCUCAAAAAUGUCACCACUUACCAUUUCUGAAGGAGGUUUUUUUUUGGGGGGUGGGGUGAUGUGUUGUUGGUAGAAAGGGAACUAUAUAGCAACAGGGACGUGGAGAGAGCUGUGGAGCUCCGAGCCUGUCUGAACUGUUCAGGAAGGACUUAAUAAAAGGGCACUCUAAGAAUGUUGAUGAAAUCAUCAAUAAGAUGUUACGAGCAUAAAGAAUGGAGUUGGUGCCUGAAGUACAGCGGAUGUAUGUGUGUAAAGUUUCUAUGUGAAUCUGCUGGAUUUCAAAGCCACAAGUUUCCUGUAUCUUCAAGAGUGCAAUCAUCUCCUAACGGUUCCUCCUUCAAUCCACGCUCCACGCUGCUGCAAAGAGAACUUUCGACAGUGGAGAUCUGAUUAUGUCACUUCCCUACUUCAGACUUUCCAAUGGUUUUGCAUUACCUUCAAAAUAAAGAAUAAACUUCACACGGCAGACAGAGCCUUCAUCAUCCAGAUUCAUCUAGAGCAGCAUUGCCCAGUAGAAAUACAUGAGCAAUAUAUGUAGCUCUAAAUUUAUAAUAGCCACAUUUAAAAAAAUUUUUUUAAAUUACAGGUGAAGUUAGUUUAAAAAAUACAUUUUAUUUAACCCAAUAUAUUAAAAAUAUCAUAGCAACACAAACCCAGUAUAAAAAUUAUUAAUGAGGUGUCUUAUAUUCCUUUUUUCUAAGUUCUCAAAAUCUGGUGUGUAUUUAACACAUACAGCACAUCUUAAUUCAGAUGCUAAAUUUUCAAAGGUU